RNAcentral lists this ribosomal RNA (526 nucleotides) under uncultured bacterium. Its description in RNAcentral is "partial 16S ribosomal RNA". It matches the Rfam family "Bacterial small subunit ribosomal RNA", at positions 28 to 523 of the family's 1533-position model. The record is from RNAcentral.
GACGAACGCUGGCGGCGUGCCUAAUACAUGCAAGUCGAACGAAGCUGUUUUAACUGGUGCUUGCACCGACUUAAACAACUGAGUGGCGAACGGGUGAGUAACACGUGGGUAACCUGCCCCAAAGCGGGGGAUAACAUUUGGAAACAGAUGCUAAUACCGCAUAAAAGUCAAAACCACAUGGUUUUGAUUUAAAAGAUGGCCUUUGUGCUAUCACUUCUGGAUGGACCCGCGGCGUAUUAGCUAGUUGGUAAGGUAACGGCUUACCAAGGCAAUGAUACGUAGCCGAACUGAGAGGUUGAUCGGCCACAAUGGGACUGAGACACGGCCCAUGCUCCUACGGGAGGCAGCAGUAGGGAAUCUUCCACAAUGGGCGCAAGCCUGAUGGAGCAACACCGCGUGAGUGAAGAAGGGUUUCGGCUCGUAAAACUCUGUUGUUAAAGAAGAACGUAUCUAAGAGUAACUGCUUAGGUAGUGACGGUAUUUAACCAGAAAGCCACGGCUAACUACGUGCCAGCAGCCGCAGUAA